This 839-nucleotide ribosomal RNA is filed under the name uncultured bacterium. RNAcentral's name for it is "bacterial SSU rRNA". It matches the Rfam family "Bacterial small subunit ribosomal RNA", at positions 9 to 821 of the family's 1533-position model. The record is from RNAcentral.
GAGUUUGAUCAUGGCUCAGGAUGAACGCUGGCGGCGUGCCUAAUACAUGCAAGUCGAACGGUCUUUUCUAUGGAAGCUUGCUUCCGCUGAGAAGAUAGUGGCGGACGGGUGAGUAACACGUGGGUAACCUGCCCAUAAGAGGGGGAUAACAUCCGGAAACGGGUGCUAAUACCGCAUAGUUUUCUUGAUCGCAUGAUUGAGAAAGGAAAGACGGCCUUUGUGCUGUCGCUUAUGGAUGGACCCGCGGCGUAUUAGUUAGUUGGUGAGGUAAUGGCUCACCAAGACGAUGAUACGUAGCCGACCUGAGAGGGUGAUCGGCCACAUUGGGACUGAGACACGGCCCAAACUCCUACGGGAGGCAGCAGUAGGGAAUCUUCCGCAAUGGACGAAAGUCUGACGGAGCAACGCCGCGUGAGUGAAGAAGGUUUUCGGAUCGUAAAACUCUGUUGUCAGAGAAGAACAAGUUGGAGAGUAACUGCUCCAGCCUUGACGGUAUCUGACCAGAAAGCCACGGCUAACUACGUGCCAGCAGCCGCGGUAAUACGUAGGUGGCAAGCGUUGUCCGGAUUUAUUGGGCGUAAAGCGAGCGCAGGCGGUUCCUUAAGUCUGAUGUGAAAGCCCACGGCUCAACCGUGGAAGGUCAUUGGAAACUGGGGAACUUGAGUGCAGAAGAGGAGAGUGGAAUUCCAUGUGUAGCGGUGAAAUGCGUAGAUAUGCGGAGGGACACCGAUGGCGAAAGCAGCCUCCUGGGCCAGUACUGACGCUCAUGCACGAAAGCGUGGGGAGCAAACAGGAUUAGAUACCCUGGUAGUCCACGCCCUAAACGAUGUCAACUAGUU